RNAcentral lists this ribosomal RNA (253 nucleotides) under uncultured bacterium. RNAcentral describes it as "partial 16S ribosomal RNA". It matches the Rfam family "Bacterial small subunit ribosomal RNA", at positions 524 to 776 of the family's 1533-position model. The record is from RNAcentral.
UACGUAGGGUGCAAGCGUUUAAUCGGAAUUACUGGGCGUAAAGCGUGCGCAGGCGGCUAUGCAAGACAGAUGUGAAAUCCCCGGGCUCAACCUGGGAACUGCAUUUGUGACUGGCGGGCUAGAGUAUGGCAGAGGGGGUAGAAUUCCACGUGUAGCAGUGAAAUGCGUAGAGAUGUGGAGGAAUACCGAUGGCGAAGGCAGCCCCCUGGGCCAAUACUGACGCUCAUGCACGAAAGCGUGGGGAGCAAACAGG